CUUAAGCCUCGAUAGUUCUCUCUUCUAUCUCUUGUCUCUCCCGUCUGCCUCUCUCCACGGUCUUGUUCUUCCCACCAUUGCCUUCACCACGGCCAUAGACAGAGAGACUCUGUCUCUUGCAUCUCCCUCUCUCCAUGCUCUCCCUCUCCCGUCUCUUUCUUUCUCCUCCCUUCUUCUAGGUCAGAGGGAUUUGGGUUUUAAUUUUAGGGUUAUUGAUUUGGGGUUACUGAUUUGGGUUUUAUCUAACCAUUUGGGUGUUGGCUUGCGGUUGCUCUACCUCGAUCAACAAAGGUGCUUAGCUUUUUCAUCUCUCUUGCCCUCUACGGCUGUUGCACUCACUCUGAAGCUUUGAUAGAGAUUGUUGUGUAGUUUUUAGCCUAAAAAUACAAACCAAAAAGUGGAGAAGUGGCUGCAGAGAUAGUUGUUUCCUGAGCCACGCCGCUCCUGUUUAUUGCUUUGCUCCUCAUGAGCCUUCAAACCCUUAACUUGAGUUGAGAGUUGAGAUCUUCAGCCCUCCUUUGGACUUGGGCUCCAAAACUGAAAAGUAUUUGCAGCCCUUGAGUUGAGAGUUGAUAUCACUCUUGCUUUGCAUUCAAACAGAGGUAUAGUCUUCAAACCUUGAAUUCAGUUUUGGUCUCUUUUUCUGCAUUUGAAUAUUUGUGCCAUUUCUGGAUUUUUUGUAUGACGUUUUCUGCAAUAUUGAUAAAACUAAAUAAAAAUAUAGUUUGGUGAUUAUUGAAAACUGAUGGGUAUAUUUUAUAUUAUAUAUUUAACCUCAUUCUUAGUAUAUUUUGGUUAAUAUUUUGGAAGAAUUUUGAUACUUUGAAUUAUAUUUUCAAUAUAGGACUUUUGAUUUCCUCUGGAGCAAAACGUAAUCAAAUGGACAAAUUUUGGAGUAAUUCCAGUUGGAGGACGUUCGUGAGCCACUUAGCAUGAUCGUAUCAAAAUUUCAGAUUUUUCUACCAAGCGGUUAUUUUCUGGCGAUAAAAUAAAGGAGCAGUGCCCGGUGCUGGAAUAGUGAUAUUUUGGGCUUUUAUUGCAUUUUUAGAGCCCAAAAUGACCUCGGAUGGGUUCGUGGCCUUCUGAAGAAGUGUUCAGAAUAUUUUUAUCUUUAAAACAAGCUAUCUUGGGCCAGAUUUGGAGGAGAUUUGAGGCUAAAACGUGGCUGGGCAGAUUGUAGGCAAAUUCUCCUAAUCCAAUUUGGACUUUAUUUCCUAGUAUUAUUUUAUUUUACUUAGUUUCCUUGUGGGGAUAGAAAAGUUGUACAUUGGCAGCUAGGUUUUAAGGGGUAUUUAAGCUCUUUCUCACAACAAUUUUAAGGACUUCUUUUUGGCUCUGGAACGUAGAGAGCAAUUGCUAGGGUUUUGGGUUUUCAGCGACUUUCAAGUGUUUUCAUUCUUAUUCAUUUGAAUGAUAUUUUCUUUGAUUUUAAUUA
Long non-coding RNA from Prunus dulcis (almond), 1435 nucleotides. RefSeq lists it as uncharacterized. The record is from RefSeq and is a predicted model, not a curated record. The transcript has 3 exons. Lineage: Eukaryota; Viridiplantae; Streptophyta; Magnoliopsida; Rosales; Rosaceae.